This 492-nucleotide ribosomal RNA is filed under the name uncultured bacterium. RNAcentral describes it as "partial 16S ribosomal RNA". It matches the Rfam family "Bacterial small subunit ribosomal RNA", at positions 29 to 507 of the family's 1533-position model. The record is from RNAcentral.
AGUGAACGCUGGCGGUAGGCCUAACACAUGCAAGUCGAACGGCAGCACAGUAAGAGCUUGCUCUUACGGGUGGCGAGUGGCGGACGGGUGAGGAAUACAUCGGAAUCUACUUUUUCGUGGGGGAUAACGUAGGGAAACUUACGCUAAUACCGCAUACGACCUACGGGUGAAAGCAGGGGAUCUUCGGACCUUGCGCGAUUGAAUGAGCCGAUGUCGGAUUAGCUAGUUGGCGGGGUAAAGGCCCACCAAGUCGACGAUCCGUAGCUGGUCUGAGAGGAUGAUCAGCCACACUGGAACUGAGACACGGUCCAGACUCCUACGGGAGGCAGCAGUGGGGAAUAUUGGACAAUGGGCGCAAGCCUGAUCCAGCCAUACCGCGUGGGUGAAGAAGGCCUUCGGGUUGUAAAGCCCUUUUGUUGGGAAAGAAAAGCAGCAGGUUAAUACCCCGCUGUUCUGACGGUACCCAAAGAAUAAGCACCGGCUAACUUCAUG